This 492-nucleotide ribosomal RNA is filed under the name uncultured bacterium. Its description in RNAcentral is "partial 16S ribosomal RNA". It matches the Rfam family "Bacterial small subunit ribosomal RNA", at positions 29 to 507 of the family's 1533-position model. The record is from RNAcentral.
AGUGAACGCUGGCGGUAGGCCUAACACAUGCAAGUCGAACGGCAGCACAGUAAGAGCUUGCUCUUACGGGUGGCGAGUGGCGGACGGGUGAGGAAUACAUCGGAAUCUACUUUUUCGUGGGGGAUAACGUAGGGAAACUUACGCUAAUACCGCAUACGACCUACGGGUGAAAGCAGGGGAUCUUCGGACCUUGCGCGAUUGAAUGAGCCGAUGUCGGAUUAGCUAGUUGGCGGGGUAAAGGCCCACCAAGGCGACGAUCCGUAGCUGGUCUGAGAGGAUGAUCCGCCACACUGGAACUGAGACUCGGUCCAGACUCCUACGGGAGGCAGCAGUGGGGAAUAUUGGACAAUGGGCGCAAGCCUGAUCCAGCCAUACCGCGUGGGUGAAGAAGGCCUUCGGGUUGUAAAGCCCUUUUGUUGGGAAAGAAAAGCAGCAGGUUAAUACCCCGCUGUUCUGACGGUACCCAAAGAAUAAGCACCGGCUAACUUCGUG